UCCGUAGGUGAACCUGCGGAGGGAUCAUUACUGAGUUUUUAACUCUCCAAACCAUGUGAACUUACCACUGUUGCCUCGGUGGUCGGUGCUGGAAACAGUGCUGCCACCGGUGGACUACUAAACUCUUGUUAAUUUUUGUCAAAUCUGAAUCAAACUAAGAAAUAAGUUAAAACUUUCAACAACGGAUCUCUUGGUUCUGGCAUCGAUGAAGAACGCAGCGAAAUGCGAUAAGUAAUGUGAAUUGCAGAAUUCAGUGAAUCAUCGAAUCUUUGAACGCACAUUGCGCCCAUUAGUAUUCUAGUGGGCAUGCCUGUUCGAGCGUCAUUAUCACCCCUCAAGCCCGGCUUGUUGUUGGAUGCAGCGCUUAUCCCGCUCCUCCCAAAGAUAAUGACGGCGUCUGCGACGACUCCUGUACACUGAGCUUUCGGGCACGUACACGGCUAGAAGUCCAGACCCGGUCGCCGUCCCCCCGCGGGGAGGCACCCAUUACCACAAGGUUGACCUCGGAUCAGGUAGGAAUACCCGCUGAACUUAAGCAUAUCAAUAAGGCGGGAGGGGAAGGUCGGACUGGCCAAGGGCACACAGGGGGGGAUA
RNAcentral lists this ribosomal RNA (594 nucleotides) under uncultured fungus. RNAcentral's name for it is "eukaryotic LSU rRNA". The stretch from base 171 to 324 matches the Rfam family "5.8S ribosomal RNA". The record is from RNAcentral. Lineage: Eukaryota; Fungi.